This 467-nucleotide ribosomal RNA is filed under the name uncultured bacterium. RNAcentral describes it as "partial 16S ribosomal RNA". It matches the Rfam family "Bacterial small subunit ribosomal RNA", at positions 29 to 507 of the family's 1533-position model. The record is from RNAcentral.
ACGCACGCUGGCGGCGUGCUUAACACAUGCAAGUCGAACGGAAAGGCCCUGCUUUUGUGGGGUGCUCGAGUGGCGAACGGGUGAGUAACACGUGAGUAACCUGCCCUUGACUUUGGGAUAACUUCAGGAAACUGGGGCUAAUACCGGAUAGGAGCUCCUGCUGCAUGGUGGGGGUUGGAAAGUUUCGGCGGUUGGGGAUGGACUCGCGGCUUAUCAGCUUGUUGGUGGGGUAGUGGCUUACCAAGGCUUUGACGGGUAGCCGGCCUGAGAGGGUGACCGGCCACAUUGGGACUGAGAUACGGCCCAGACUCCUACGGGAGGCAGCAGUGGGGAAUAUUGCACAAUGGGCGGAAGCCCGAUGCAGCAACGCCGCGUGCGGGAUGACGGCCUUCGGGUUGUAAACCGCUUUCGCCUGUGACGAAGCGUGAGUGACGGUAAUGGGUAAAGAAGCACCGGCUAACUACGUG